GAUGAAGAACGCAGCGAAAUGCGAUAAGUAAUGUGAAUUGCAGAAUUCAGUGAAUCAUCGAAUCUUUGAACGCACCUUGCACCCUUUGGACUGCUCCAAAGGGUAUGCUCGUUUGAGUGUCAUUGUACUCUCACACUCUCUGAUCCUUUGGAUUUGGGGAGCAGUGGACUUGGGUGCUUGCUGCUUUCUUGUGGCUCACCUGAAAUGCAUCAGUGCAUCUCUCGAUUGGACAUAGUACGGCGUGAUAAGUGUCUUCGCCGGCACCUCAUAUGAGGGUGGCCGAUCGGGAGCUCUGUGCUUUCAAACCGUCUUCGGACAACGCUGACAACUUGACCUCAAAUCGAGUAGGACUACCCGCUGAACUUAAGCAUAUCAAUAAGCGGAGGA
Molecule: unclassified non-coding RNA, 387 nt
Filed under: soil metagenome
Description: partial contains 5.8S ribosomal RNA, internal transcribed spacer 2, and large subunit ribosomal RNA
Rfam family: 5.8S ribosomal RNA (bases 1-122)
Source: RNAcentral